AGUGAACGCUGGCGGUAGGCCUAACACAUGCAAGUCGAACGGCAGCACAGUAAGAGCUUGCUCUGACGGGUGGCGAGUGGCGGACGGGUGAGGAAUACAUCGGAAUCUACUUUUUCGUGGGGGAUAACGUAGGGAAACUUACGCUAAUACAGCAUACGACCUACGGGUGAAAGCAGGGGAUCUUCGGACCUUGCGCGAUUGAAUGAGCCGAUGUCGGAUUAGCUAGUUGGCGGGGUAAAGGCCCACCAAGGCGACGAUCCGUAGCUGGUCUGAGAGGAUGAUCAGCCACACUGGAACUGAGACACGGUCCAGACUCCUACGGGAGGCAGCAGUGGGGAAUAUUGGACAAUGGGCGCAAGCCUGAUCCAGCCAUACCGCGUGGGUGAAGACGGCCUUCGGGUUGUAAAGCCCUUUUGUUGGGAAAGAAAAGCAGCAGGUUAAUACCCCGCUGUUCUGACGGUACCCAAAGAAUAAGCACCGGCUAACUUCGUG
RNAcentral lists this ribosomal RNA (492 nucleotides) under uncultured bacterium. Its description in RNAcentral is "partial 16S ribosomal RNA". It matches the Rfam family "Bacterial small subunit ribosomal RNA", at positions 29 to 507 of the family's 1533-position model. The record is from RNAcentral.